RNAcentral lists this ribosomal RNA (1457 nucleotides) under insect metagenome. Its description in RNAcentral is "bacterial SSU rRNA". It matches the Rfam family "Bacterial small subunit ribosomal RNA". The record is from RNAcentral.
CUAGCGACCUCCACUCCCCUGACCAUCUAGCGACCUCCACUACAUGCAAGUAGAACGCUGAAGGAGGAGCUUGCUCUUCUGGAUGAGUUGCGAACGGGUGAGUAACGCGUAGGUAACCUGCCUGGUAGCGGGGGAUAACUAUUGGAAACGAUAGCUAAUACCGCAUAAUAGUAGAUGUUGCAUGACAUUUGCUUAAAAGGUGCAAUUGCAUCACUACCAGAUGGACCUGCGUUGUAUUAGCUAGUUGGUGGGGUAACGGCUCACCAAGGCGACGAUACAUAGCCGACCUGAGAGGGUGAUCGGCCACACUGGGACUGAGACACGGCCCAGACUCCUACGGGAGGCAGCAGUAGGGAAUCUUCGGCAAUGGACGGAAGUCUGACCGAGCAACGCCGCGUGAGUGAAGAAGGUUUUCGGAUCGUAAAGCUCUGUUGUAAGAGAAGAACGAGUGUGAGAGUGGAAAGUUCACACUGUGACGGUAUCUUACCAGAAAGGGACGGCUAACUACGUGCCAGCAGCCGCGGUAAUACGUAGGUCCCGAGCGUUGUCCGGAUUUAUUGGGCGUAAAGCGAGCGCAGGCGGUUAGAUAAGUCUGAAGUUAAAGGCUGUGGCUUAACCAUAGUACGCUUUGGAAACUGUUUAACUUGAGUGCAAGAGGGGAGAGUGGAAUUCCAUGUGUAGCGGUGAAAUGCGUAGAUAUAUGGAGGAACACCGGUGGCGAAAGCGGCUCUCUGGCUUGUAACUGACGCUGAGGCUCGAAAGCGUGGGGAGCAAACAGGAUUAGAUACCCUGGUAGUCCACGCCGUAAACGAUGUCNACUAGCCGUUGGGNUCCUUGAGANNUUAGUGGCGCAGNUAACGCNNUAAGUNGACCGCCUGGGGAGUACGGCCGCAAGGUUAAAACUCAAAUGAAUUGACGGGGGCCCGCACAAGCGGUGGAGCAUGUGGUUUAAUUCGAUGCAACGCGANGAACCUUACCUGGUCUUGACAUCCACAGAAUCUUGCAGAGAUGCGAGAGUGCCUUCGGGAACUGUGCGACCUCCACUGCAUGGCUGUCGUCAGCUCGUGUUGUGAAAUGUUGGGUUAAGUCCCGCAACGAGCGCAACCCUUAUCCUUUGUUGCCAGCGGUUUGGCCGGGAACUCAAAGGAGACUGCCGUUGAUAAAGCGGAGGAAGGUGGGGACGACGUCAAGUCAUCAUGGCCCUUACGACCAGGGCUACACACGUGCUACAAUGGCGUAUACAAAGGGAGGCGACCUCGCGAGAGCAAGCGGACCUCAUAAAGUACGUCUAAGUCCGGAUUGGAGUCUGCAACUCGACUCCAUGAAGUCGGAAUCGCUAGUAAUCGUGAAUCAGAAUGUCACGGUGAAUACGUUCCCGGGCCUUGUACACACCGCCCGUCACACCAUGGGAGUGGGUUGCACCAGAAGUAGAUAGCUUAACCACGAGGUGGUGGAGG